RNAcentral lists this ribosomal RNA (197 nucleotides) under uncultured bacterium. RNAcentral's name for it is "partial 16S ribosomal RNA". It matches the Rfam family "Bacterial small subunit ribosomal RNA", at positions 1305 to 1500 of the family's 1533-position model. The record is from RNAcentral.
CUGCAACUCGACUGCGUGAAGGCGGAGUCGCUAGUAAUCGCGGAUCAGCAACGCCGCGGUGAAUGCGUUCCCGGGCCUUGUACACACCGCCCGUCAAGUCAUGAAAGUGGGUAGCACCCGAAGCCGGUGGCCCGACCCUCGUGGGGGAGCCGUCUAAGGUGAGACUCGUGAUUGGGACUAAGUCGUAACAAGGUAAC